AGUGAACGCUGGCGGUAGGCCUAACACAUGCAAGUCGAACGGCAGCACAGUAAGAGCUUGCUCUUACGGGUGGCGAGUGGUGGACGGGUGAGGAAUACAUCGGAAUCUACUUUUUCGUGGGGGAUAACGUAGGGAAACUUACGCUAAUACCGCAUACGACCUACGGGUGAAAGCAGGGGAUCUUCGGACCUUGCGCGAUUGAAUGAGCCGAUGUCGGAUUAGCUAGUUGGCGGGGUAAAGGCCCACCAAGGCGACGAUCCGUAGCUGGUCUGAGAGGAUGAUCAGCCACACUGGAACUGAGACACGGUCCAGACUCCUACGGGAGGCAGCAGUGGGGAAUAUUGGACAAUGGGCGCAAGCCUGAUCCAGCCAUACCGCGUGGGUGAAGAAGGCCUUCGGGUUGUAAAGCCCUUUUGUUGGGAAAGAAAGGCAGCAGGUUAAUACCCCGCUGUUCUGACGGUACCCAAAGAAUAAGCACCGGCUAACUUCGUG
This 492-nucleotide ribosomal RNA is filed under the name uncultured bacterium. RNAcentral's name for it is "partial 16S ribosomal RNA". It matches the Rfam family "Bacterial small subunit ribosomal RNA", at positions 29 to 507 of the family's 1533-position model. The record is from RNAcentral.